CCUACGGGCGGCAGCAGUGGGGAAUAUUGCACAAUGGGGGAAACCCUGAUGCAGCGACGCCGCGUGAGUGAAGAAGUAUUUCGGUAUGUAAAGCUCUAUCAGCAGGGACGAAAAAAUGACGGUACCUGACUAAGAAGCCCCGGCUAACUACGUGCCAGCAGCCACGGUAAUACGUAGGGGGCAAGCGUUAUCCGGAUUUACUGGGUGUAAAGGGAGCGUAGACGGUGAUGUAAGUCAGAUGUGAAAGCCCGGGGCUCAACCCCGGGACUGCAUUUGAAACUAUGUUGCUAGAGUGCAGGAGAGGUAAGUGGAAUUCCUAGUGUAGCGGUGAAAUGCGUAGAUAUUAGGAGGAACACCAGUGGCGAAGGCGGCUUACUGGACUGUAACUGACGUUGAGGCUCGAAAGCGUGGGGAGCAAACAGGAUUAGAUACCCCGGUAGUC
This 442-nucleotide ribosomal RNA is filed under the name uncultured bacterium. RNAcentral's name for it is "bacterial SSU rRNA". It matches the Rfam family "Bacterial small subunit ribosomal RNA", at positions 338 to 795 of the family's 1533-position model. The record is from RNAcentral.